CCAGUCCUAUACCAGGGACAGAAAAAUUAUUGGAAUCAGUUGCCUUCUAUCCAGAGUUCCCUUUCUAAUUUCCAUUUUACUCUGAUUUGAAAGAACCAGAUCUUCUCUCAGAUCAUUUCUUAUUUAGACUAGGGUCUGGUUCAUGUUUACGCUCUAGGAAUAAAUUUAAAUAGAAUGAGAAAAUGUUUAAAAAAUUCAAAAUGAUGCUCCUGCCUACUUAUAUUGUCUAUUAUUUUAACAACCCGGAAACCCUUGGAGCAAGUAAAGAACAAAAAAUAUCAUGAAUGCUUUUUGGGGUACAGUUUGGACCCAUCUUUUCCCUCCUCUUUUUGAACUCCUGAAUUCUGCUGGAGACCCAUAGAUUCUCUGGGUGUGAGACCAGAGAAUGUGCAUUUUAACCUGCUCCCCUUGGCAGCUCUUCCCUUUCCUAAAGUUUGAGAUCAUACAGAAUUUCUAACUUCAGCUCCAAUCCAUUAGGUAGCUGUUCUGUCCUUCAUGAAAAAAAUCUCCAUCUUAAUGGUGACUACCCAGAGCCGCUUUGUUAGCUAAAGGGUGCAUAGAGACUCCGCUCUCAGUGGUUGGCAGUUAUUGUAAGGGAAUUCCUGCCAGUCCUCCCCUCUCUCCUGGGUACAUGACUCCCUAUUAACUAAUUGAAAGAGUAAUAACAAAACUAACAACCAACUAGGUUUGUUUCUGGUAGGAAGAAAUAUCGACUGCCUAUACAGUGAGACAAGGAAGGUGAUAAAAAGGCUCAUCUUUGCAACUAUCUUCUGAACCACACCGCAGGCAUGCAAUUCUUUGGCUUGGGUUCUCCUAAAUGAUGUUACCGAGGAGGAGUAACAAGUUGUACAUUCAACAUCAUGAUCCAAUCACAGCUUAAAGAGGAUUGCAAAAUUAGCUAUCAGGUUACCUAGCAAAUAACCAAAUAAGGCCUUGUAAAGGUGAGAUUUUUAGAACAGGUAAAUCUAGAUGGAUGGAAAAGCUAGGCAAAGUCAACAACCUGGGUUGGUUAGCAAGGUACAUCUUCUUCCACUAUUUUUCUUUAUGCUUCUUGGGCUUUUUCUAAAGCAGGAGCUGGCAGACUUUUCUGUCAGUAUUUUAGGUUCUUCAGCCAGUGCUGACUGUUGCAAUCCCUCGGCUUUGUCUCUGUUGUAUGAAUGCUGCCACGUGCAACAUGGAAACGAUCAGGGUGGCUGUGUUUCGAGAAAACUUUAGUUACCUUGAAACUUAAAUCUCAGAUGAUUUUUCACAUGCCGCAAAUUAUUUUUCAACAUUUGUUUCCCCACAAGCCAUUUGAAAAGUACAAGACUAUUUUUAGUUUGAGGUACACAAAAACAGAUGAUGGACUAGACAGGUCACUGUUGGCUGGCCUGUUUUUAAACAAGAACAGUUUCCUAUUUUCAAUGCAUACCCCAUGCCUUCCCACGGCUCUACUUUUGCUCCUGUCAUUCUUGUUUUUGAAUGUUAUUUUCCAAUUCCUACAUGUCCAUUUGUUCCCAUCACCUGGUUUGGCUACUACCUUCCUUUUCA
This 1530-nucleotide long non-coding RNA is filed under the name Marmota monax (woodchuck). Lineage: Eukaryota; Metazoa; Chordata; Mammalia; Rodentia; Sciuridae. The record is from RNAcentral.